RNAcentral lists this ribosomal RNA (407 nucleotides) under uncultured bacterium. RNAcentral's name for it is "partial 16S ribosomal RNA". It matches the Rfam family "Bacterial small subunit ribosomal RNA", at positions 28 to 526 of the family's 1533-position model. The record is from RNAcentral.
GACGAACGCUGGCGGCGUGCCUAAUACAUGCAAGUAGGACGCAGUUGCGAACGGGUGAGUAACGCGUAGGUAACUGCCUCUUAGAGGGGGAUAACUAUUGGAAACGAUAGCUAAUACCGCAUACUAGUAGAUGGACCUGCGUUUUAUUCGCUAUUAGGUAGGGUAAAGGCCUACCUAGGCGACGAUACAUAGCCGACCCGAGGGGGGGAUCUGCCAAACUGGGAAUGGGGAACGGGCCAGACUCCUACGGGAGGCAGCAGGAGGGGAUCUUCGGGAAUGGGGGGAAACCUGACCGAGCAACGCCGCGGGAGUGAAGAAGGUUUUCGGAUCGUAAAGCUCUUUUGUUAAGGAAGCGGUACUUAACCAGAAAGGGACGGCUAACUACGUGCCAGCAGCCGCGGUAAUAC